This 253-nucleotide ribosomal RNA is filed under the name uncultured bacterium. RNAcentral's name for it is "partial 16S ribosomal RNA". It matches the Rfam family "Bacterial small subunit ribosomal RNA", at positions 524 to 776 of the family's 1533-position model. The record is from RNAcentral.
UACAUAGGGUGCAAGCGUUGUCCGGAAUUAUUGGGCGUAAAGAGCUCGUAGGUGGUUCGUUACGUCGGAUGUGACAAUCUGGGGCUCAACCCCAGACCUGCACUCGAUACGGGCGAACUAGAGUGUGGUAGGGGAGACUGGAAUUCCUGGUGUAGCGGUGGAAUGCGCAGAUAGCAGGAGGAACACCAAGGGCGAAGGCAGGUCUCUGGGCCAGUACUGACACUGAGGAGCGAAAGCGUGGGGAGCGAACAGG